Molecule: long non-coding RNA, 941 nt
Filed under: Bos indicus x Bos taurus (hybrid cattle)
Lineage: Eukaryota; Metazoa; Chordata; Mammalia; Artiodactyla; Bovidae
Description: lncRNA (ENSBIXG00005020452.1)
Source: RNAcentral
ACUAGCUGUGUGAAUUUGCACAGGCUGUUUGCGGCUCUCAAUCUUUUUUUUUUUUUCCUCCCUCAGGAAAACAGUCUGUGGGAUUUCUUCUGUUUCCCGGUUCCAGAUCCAAUGAACUCCUUUCUCCAAUCUUGUACCAACACUGGGAGCCUUGACAAGCACAGUGUGUGGCUGCCAUUAAGAGAAAAUGUGUCAUGCAACCAGCUAUUCUAAGCACCAGUGACUGGCAAAAGGAGGAUGGAGUGGUGGUGUCCUCACGGUAGGCUUACCGGCGCUUGGGGGCAAAUGGGGAAGUCCAGGGCAUAAACUGUGGUCCUGGAAAAACUUGUGUGAAUAUGAAGAAGUCCUGGAGGGACGAUAGGCAUAACGUAAGAGGCAGCAGUGGUAAGUAUACAGCUGUUAUCUGCAGAAGCUUAUGAUUUUCUCUUUGUUGAAAGUAAAUCCAUGUCAAACAUUGUUCUAGGCAAUUCAUAUAGAUUACUUCACUUAAUCCUCAUGACAAUGCAAUAAGGUCAGUAUUAUUAUGCUCUUUAUAUUACAAAUGAGGACUCCAAAAAAAAAAAAAAACAUGAAUAAGCAAGUAAUUUGCCCAAGUUAUACAAAUAACAUAUUGCUGAGGUAGGAUUUGAUUUGAACCCAACAAAUCAAACUCUGGAACCCAAUAUCAUAUUUUAGGUAUAAUUUAUAUACAGUAAGAGGGCCUUGUUUGGUUUAUAAUUCUAUGAGUUUUGGUACAUGUACCCAACCUUGUAACUGCUACCUACUCAAGAUGUAGAACAGUUUUAUCAUUUUCCCUAAUCUCCUUAUGAAUGCCCUUUUCUAAUCAGUCCCCUCCCCUUUUCCCAGUCCCUGGAAAUCACUGAUCUGUCUGUUUUCUUUAUAGUUUUCACUUUUCCAGAAUGUCCUAUCAAUGGAAUAAUAAAGCAUGAAGGCUCUUGAGU